CAACAUUUGGUAAGUUCAUAAACAGAUUGUAGUUGUGGUUCUAAAUAAGUUCAACAGUAAUGGAAAUAAGUUCUAUAAAAUUCCUAAUAAUGCAUGUAAUCAUCAUUUCCAUCUUCUGGUUCUUCAUGUGGUGGUUGCUGUUCUGGAGGUUGCUGUUCUGGUUGGACUGUAUUGGGUACGUCAUUUUGAACUUGAGGAUUUUGAAGGUUUAAAAAUUGUUGUGCAGCCGCGGCUGCUGAAGGCGGAAGGAAUGGCAGGAGGACGCCAAUAAAGCCUUCAAACUUUUGAAGCUGCUGACCAUAUUGUUCUAACUGCGAUUUCAGGUUAACAAUUUCUUCUGAAUUUUGAGGUUGAGCAGUAGAAGAUGCCUGUGUCUGUUGGAUGUAACUAUCAACACAGUCAUCUUGGGAAGUGACAUUUCCAAUGCCGUAUACGCGUCCCUUGUAUUUUCCACCAGCAGCCUCUAACCAACAUCGGUUUCUCAAUCUUUCCUCCUCCGCAGGGUCUAGAGGAGAAGAUGUUGAGACACCAACAGAUGCAGUCUCAGAUCUAAUUUCAGAAAAUUUUGCAACAAAUUGUUCCUGUUAAAUGAAUAAAUAUUAUCAUUACACAUGAGGUUUAAAAAACGAAAAUUUAUAAUGUGAUAGAGUUAGUACAAACUUACAUGGGUUCGCCUAGACCUUUCGUCCACAAAUUCUCCCGUUGAUUGACGAAUAUGUGUCUGCUGAAAUAUUUCAUCAACAUGCACAGACCGACCAAGCUCUUGUGACUGCAAACAAAAGGAGUUGUUAAUAAAUAUUUGUAAAGUUUAUGAUUACAAAUAUAAGAAAAAAAAUGUACAAGUUAUAUACCAAACGAAUAGCAUGCUCAUGUACGCUUAUAGAUCCUCUAGUGUGCAAACAUCCACCCUUAUCAGAUGUCCGAUUCUUCUUUGCCGUUUCACACUUUUGUCUAUAAAGUGGCAUGUUCCACUUUUCCAAAAGAGCAUUCCAAGCAUCGUCCCCCAGCCAAUCAGGUCUUUUUCCUAGAGUUCUAGCUUUUUUAUACAUCUCUGAGAGUCUAUGAGAUGCCUUGGUGUGAUAAUUUUUUUUUACCUUUUCCUCAUCUUCAGGCUUCCAUGAAACCUUUCUCUGUUGUUAUAUUAGAAAUAAUAGGUUUGAAUAAGUAAAGAAGUUCAAAGUAUAAAUUAAAUGCAGGACACCAACUAUUGACUUGUAACAACAGGAUUAGGAAUGAAAAGUUUUUACCUUAAAACGUUCGAAGAAGACAUCUCUGGUUGACUUAGGGAUUGCACCCCAUGUUAGCCAUGGCUCAUCAAACUGUUCCUUGAUGGUUGCUGUGAUUGCCUUGGAUGCAGUUUUUGUAGGAUAAAACCUAAAACAAAAUUAAACUCAAACAUUACAAUAAUACAACAAUGAAUUGUGUAUAUAUUAAUUGAGUUAUUUUUUUUCUUACCCUCCUCCAACGGGUGUAAUCAUUGGACGACUAUUGGAACAUUCUUCCAUGUUAUUGGCGGCUGAACUAGAAUGUGGAUCUGCAUCCUCUAUACCAGGUGAUGCUGCAAUAUUUCUGGGAGUUGAUGGGUUAGAACCAACAUUGGGAGAGAGUGAAGCCUGAAGAUAAGGAGGCACUUGGUAUGGAGUGGGUGUCAAGCCAGGCACUUGUAUUGGAGGUGGAAGAGAUGUACCAAUAGAGGUAGGUGAAGAUGUAGGAACUUGAUGUGGAGUGGGAGUGAAGGCAGGAACAACUAAUGGAGGUGGAACAGAUCUACCAGUAGAGGUAGAGGUAGGUGUAGUUGGUUGACUGGUUGAACCAAUUUCAUUAUUGAAACGUGUCAUCAACUUCACUACGUAAGAUUUCUUUCCCUUGCCCUUAUUAGAAUUUCCUGAAGGUGGAAUAGGAGGGCCAGAAGGACCUGAUGCCAUAUUCUUGAACAUAAUAUAUAUUUUUAUACAAUAGAAGAAAAGAAAAUUCAGAAAUAGUACAAUCAAAGAUAAAUGCAAUAAAAAUCUAUUCUGUAACCAACUUGUGAGAUAAUAUAAUAUUGUGAUUGUGAUGUGUGGAACUUGGUAGAACAUAUGGAAUCACGUGAAUAGUUUUUCACAGUAGUUUUCGCAGGUAAAGUAUUUGCCAAGAAAUUUUCAGCAAGAUUUGGAAUUAGUUAUGUGAGAUUUAUUUAUGUACGAUUAAUAUUCUCAACCACCAAAAACAGACAUAUCCGAAUAACCAGCCAAAUUGAAAUUCAACUUAGAAUCUCUAAGUUCAGAUUGACAAGUAACUAAUAGACAUCUUUGGCAAUUGACAGGAAACUAAUACUUUGGAUUAACUCAAAUGCUAAACACUGAAACUCAAGUCUUGGGCUUUUAUUACAUUUGAGGUUACCCAAUUGAUUAUUUUUGCUGCCAUGAUAGUUAAAUUUAUUUCUCAAAGAAAAUGGAGAAGUAUAUAACUUAAUCCAAGUGGUAAGAUAACAAGAUUGUUUUUCUUAAAUGAACUUUUGGGGGUGACUAAGUGUUGUAAAGAGAGUAAGUGGUAGUAUAGCUUGUGAGUCCAAUGGCUUUAAUUUGGAUUAGUUGGAAACUGAGUUGACUUCUCCACGUGAAGGAUCUAAGACAAAUAAAAAAGAAUUCUAACUACUAACAUGAUAUUAUAAAAAAAAAGGGGGCACACUUACUCUUGGCUGAAACAUUUUAGGAAGAGGGAGAGCAAUUUCAGAAUUUGGAGAAGCACAACAUCACACGGCCAGCAGCAAACACAAGAAGCAUUGGUUUGGUCCAAGAAGAAUUUGGAAGUCCAGCUGCCAUUUGUUGAUUGGAAGGGGGGUUGCAUGCUUGCUGAAGAACAUCUCUCGGUCCAUGGAUUCUAGGGAGAAGGAGAGAAUGUUUUUCUUGGGAGAGGAUGCAGAGGACAAUAAGGAGACGACACACGGCCAGAAGAAGAGAGUCUCUCCUCUCGGAAUUUUUGGGCUCUCAACAGUUCUGAGUGUUCCAUCUUUUCAUCUUCUUCUAUGAGAGAAAAAACGUAAGAGUGCAGAGAACAUGGGUGGAGAAUGAAAGAAGAAAUGGUGCAGGGGUGAGAGGCUUGAUAGAAGAAAAUUUAGAGAUGAUCCUAAGUAGAAAAAAUGAGGAUUAUAUGCUCACAACAAAGUCUUCCAGAAAAGGCAUAGUAAACUUUAGCAACAAAAAUAUAUGCUCACAACAAAGUCUUCCAGAAGAACUCUAGCUUAUUGCACGUGAAGAUUAUAGGCAUCAGUUUUUGUCAACAUGAAACACUAAUUGGCAUAGCUACAUCCAAGCACAAGCAAAUUGAUUGAAGAAAAAUGAGGAAGCUAGAUGCUAGGAGAGGAGACAAGCCUAGAGCCUAUGGUCAGAAGGAGACAACACAAGGAUUUGGAGAUCUCUCUUAAAUUCUUCCUCUCGGCAAUUUGAAGGACAUCAUCUUUUCUUCUUUUCACGUGGAGGAUAGAAGAGUAUUACAUAGAUCAUGGCUUGAUGAAUGAAGGGAAGGUGAUGGUGUGAGAUGAUACGUCCAAAGAGCUAGAGGAGGGAAGCAAAUCUGUAUUUGAUUCUUGAAACACUACUGGAAGAAGACACAAGACCAAGAGGCAGCUAGUUUGUUUCCUUUACUUUGCUUUGCUUCUUUGUACUUUGAAUAUUUUCUUUUCUUGAGAGAACUGGAGAAUGUUUUCAUGAUGAAUGAUAGGUGAUGUUUAUUCCUUUUGUAGAAUUCUGCUUGCAUCUUUAAUUUGAUUUUCUGCACAUUCAUAAAAUCUUUACUAGCAUUCUAUAACUUUUGUGAAAGAGAUAGCAUGUUCGGUCAUUUCAUUUUAGAAGCAAAGUAACUCGUUAAAAAGUGUCCACCCUUUCAUAGAAGUAGAUUGCCAUCAUCUAAAUAAAAAAAGAACAAAAAUAUUCUUUAUUUGGAGAAAGGAGCUCACGGUGUAGAGAAGAUAUGAACCUUGUGCAACUUUGGAAGUGCUGAUUUGUUUCUGCUGUAUGGAAGAGUAAACCACACACACUUAUUUGUUUGCUAAAGAGUAGAGAGGAAGAGAAGGAUUUGUUACGAAGGGGAGAAGUGAUUUUUGAUGAGAAGGGAACGUAGUUGAAGAAGGAGGAAAGGAGAGUGCAGCUGGAAUGGAUGCAGCAAAGUGGACGGUCAUUAGGUUAUAGGAAGGGUGUGUGCGUAAAUACCAAAAAACAUGAUUUACAAGGAGGCACCGAAUGAAAAUCAACCACAGCCCCAAAAAGGAAACCCAAAAGUACUAAAAUAUGUUGGAUUCAUAGACAUUUCAGAGAUUAUAACUUCUUAAGAACACUAUAGAAGGUGAUACUCGACUAACUUUAAUUGUUUAUAUUGUGUUUGGUUUCUGAAAAGAGAAAUAGAGCGAAUGGAAAUAGGACAGAAACAAGUUGAAAAAGAGAGAAAUAAGUAAAAGAUAAAAUUGAAUGUUCAGUGAUUUGAUAGAGUAGAAAUGGGAGAGAAAUAGAGACAUAACCUUUUGAAAGUUCUAUAAUUUGAUAGAAAAUAGGAAGAGAUAGAGGGGGUGAAUAGAUGUAUGCAACAAAUAAUAUAGUGGUCCCCGAAUUUAUUUCUUUUCUCCUUUCCCUCUAUCAAACGCUAAAAAUUCUUCCCCCUCCUCCUCCAUCCUUCCCCUCCACUCCACCAAAAGACACCCUUACUGAACGUUUUGAGGGCAAAAAAUAGUAAAAAUCAGAUCCCAUCUAAACUAUUCACCAGAAAUUCCAACAUGCAAGAAAGAAGUUAAAUUCAUCUGUUGUUAAUCACUCUACUGCAGCAGCUACCAACAUUGUGUAUUUUAGUUUGUUGUAUUUUGUUGCUGUAAUUUUAAUUCUGUUUCCAUAUUUGAAUUUUUUCUGUUUUCUGUUUUUACUGUUUACUGUAUUUUCGUUUUCUGUAUUUUCGUUUUUCUGUAUUUUCUGUUUUCUGUUCCAGAAUUGUUUUUAUUGUUUCAUGUUAUGUUAAUUUCAUUUUCACUAUACCAAUUUCGUUUAAUGUUAAGACUGAGGUUUUUGCAAUAAAACUGAGGUAUUUGCAAUAAAACUCUAUUAGUAAAUGUUUAAUGUUAAGACUUACAUUCAUAAGAACUUAAGAUUGUGGACAACAUUAUAAAUGCAACAAAAAUAAGGAGGAACACACCCUAACUCUAUUCAGUGCUAGAACUAUGAAAUUCAUCUUCAUUGUCAUCUUCACCCUGUUCCUCUGCAUUGCAUUCUUCUGAUUCUGUUGUUUCUUCAUCUAUCUGCCCUUGAAAUGAUGAAAUAUUGUUAGGGUUCACUUCUUCAAGACCAGCAUCUACAUCUUGUAAUCGGACUACUUCUUCAACAUCAAUGACGUCAUUAACAUGUGACAUUUCCUCCACUUGGUAUGGCACAUCGGCUUCUACAUCAUUCGAAUCAAUGCGACCUCUAGGCUUCGUUUUUAUCGCAACACACCAACCUCGUUUGUCCGUGCGUGAUGUAGGAUAUGGUACAUAAUACACUUGUUGUACAUUAUGUGCAAUUAUAAAAGGAUCAAACAACACAUAUCUUUUGGUAUGGUUGUUGAUUUCACAGGCAUGGUUGUUCUUUUAUGACAGCAAGAGGGAGACAGCUAAGAUGUUUGAAGGCAAAAGUAGAUUUUGGGAUGGAAUUGGUUGGUGUGCAACAAUUAUUGUUUUUGUGACAGUGUUAAAAAAACACAGUGUGUUCAAAGAUCUUUAGCAAAUAAACUAGGAGUGCAGAAUAAAAUUCCUAAUUCUAGCUAGUCUAGGUAGCCUAAAAUGUGCAUAAUGAGUCAAAACACAACCACUAUGGGAGUUUGAGUCAGAUGUAUUGUUAUCUCAUUUAAGGAGCUCCAGCCAAAGCACUGUGGAUUGGUGUCAGACAGCUGAAGGCUACAUAUUAAAAGCAGAAACACCGGUGGUUUGUCAAAACAGGAACUGGAAAAAAUAACAUUCAAGUCGUUGUUGAUAAGGGGAAGGUUGUGGAAAUUAGUGGACCGUGGAAGCAGCAAAGAGACUCAAAGGCCCAUGACUGGAGGUGUGGCCAUUGGUGGGAACAUGGAUAUGUGAGAAGGCUUCAGAUGCCAGAGGAUGCAGAUUGGAAGAAUAUAGAAGCAUACAUACAUUACGACAUAUA
This 6137-nucleotide small RNA is filed under the name Vigna angularis var. angularis. RNAcentral describes it as "Non-protein coding transcript". The record is from RNAcentral. Lineage: Eukaryota; Viridiplantae; Streptophyta; Magnoliopsida; Fabales; Fabaceae.